RNAcentral lists this ribosomal RNA (302 nucleotides) under uncultured bacterium. RNAcentral's name for it is "partial 16S ribosomal RNA". It matches the Rfam family "Bacterial small subunit ribosomal RNA", at positions 508 to 807 of the family's 1533-position model. The record is from RNAcentral.
GCAGUAGCCACGGGAAUACGUAGGUGGCAAGCGUUGUCCGGAAUUAUUGGGCGUAAAGGGCUCGCAGGCGGUUUCUUAAGUCUGAUGUGAAAGCCCCCGGCUCAACCGGGGAGGGUCAUUGGAAACUGGGAAACUUGAGUGCAGAAGAGGAGAGUGGAAUUCCACGUGUAGCGGUGAAAUGCGUAGAGAUGUGGAGGAACACCAGUGGCGAAGGCGACUCUCUGGUCUGUAACUGACGCUGAGGAGCGAAAGCGUGGGGAGCGAACAGGAUUAGAUACCCCCGUAGUCCCUGUCUCUUAUAC